AUUGAACGCUGGCGGCAUGCCUUACACAUGCAAGUCGAACGGCAGCACGGGUGCUUGCACCUGGUGGCGAGUGGCGAACGGGUGAGUAAUACAUCGGAACAUGUCCUGUAGUGGGGGAUAGCCCGGCGAAAGCCGGAUUAAUACCGCAUACGAUCUACGGAUGAAAGCGGGGGACCUUCGGGCCUCGCGCUAUAGGGUUGGCCGAUGGCUGAUUAGCUAGUUGGUGGGGUAAAGGCCUACCAAGGCGACGAUCAGUAGAUGGUCUGAGAGGACGACCAGCCACACUGGGACUGAGACACGGCCCAGACUCCUACGGGAGGCAGCAGUGGGGAAUUUUGGACAAUGGGCGAAAGCCUGAUCCAGCAAUGCCGCGUGUGUGAAGAAGGCCUUCGGGUUGUAAAGCACUUUUGUCCGGAAAGAAAUCCUUGGCUCUAAUACAGUCAGGGGAUGACGGUACCGGAAGAAUAAGCACCGGCUAACUACGUG
This 486-nucleotide ribosomal RNA is filed under the name uncultured bacterium. Its description in RNAcentral is "partial 16S ribosomal RNA". It matches the Rfam family "Bacterial small subunit ribosomal RNA", at positions 30 to 507 of the family's 1533-position model. The record is from RNAcentral.